AUACAUGUUAUAUCAACGGGUGUGCGUCCGUGUACGUGUUGUGUUGUGUAGUUCGCGUUAUUUUUAUUACACCUUCGAUAUUUUAGGUGCGUUUUAAAAUGAUUUAAAAUAGUUUUUAAUUAUUCACUAAUAGAUUAGUUUAAUAUUUAAAAUGCGCAAUACACUAAUAAGUCUCGUUUUUGUGUAUCAAUCCAUAUUUUUGAAGCAUUCAUAUUCAAAUUAAAAAUACACCACGUUGACCAUUUAACAUGAAUGAUAGUCAUAUUAAAAUGAACGUAACAUCGUGUGAUCUGGUAACUGCAGGAGCGCAUAUUACGAACAUAUACAUAAAUCAAACUUCGGAUAAUUUAAAUGAAAAAUCAUUAGAUGCUAAAUUACUCGUCAAUGUACCUGUUGAGUUUAACACAACUAAUUCUACGUUUACGUCAAAAGAGUCCCCAUCGCUGAGCUCUAGCAGCGUUAAUAGUGCGGUCGGUAGGGAUGCUGUGGUAAAUAUCUUAAAUAGCGUAACUCCAUGUGAAUAUUCUAAAGUCGUUCAUUCGUCUCAGUUGAUACUAGAUAAUAAUGGAUCAUAUUCAUGUCACAUAUGUGUUAAUGAUAAUACCGCUCUGAAUUCAGUAUGCGAGAAUUUUAACAGUGAUGCGAUUCAUCCAUUAUGCAACACUGAAACAAAUUAUAGUUAUUUUUCGUCAGAUGACGAUGAUGGUUAUUGUGCAUAUUCUAUUGCUGAUAUCAGUGAUAUCGAUGAGUUAUCAGACAAUAUUUUAAGUGAUCAUCAAUCUAGCCCUCUUAGGGAACAAACAGAGUUACAAAUUAUUGGUUCUAGUCAUGACUAUAAUUCCAGUUGUGAUUCUGAAGCCGAUGGAAUUGUAACGUUUCUGGACAAACGUAAUAAUGAAGCGGAAGCUCGUUUGGCUGCAAGACGUCAAGCCCGUGCUGAAGCUAGAGAAAUUCGUAUGCGAGAAAUUGAACGACAACAAAAAGAAGCUGAGGAAAAUGCAGAUAAAGCUUUUGAUAUGCAUGCUGCAGAUGGACCUAUCAUAAAUCGAGUAUCACGAGCAGCUGCAAGUACUGCCAGCCCUAGAACAGCUAGUUCAUUACAUAAUACUAACAGUUACCAAUCUAGUCGACGUAAUUCGGUUGAUUCUCUUGAUGAAUCUACUCCUAACUUUCGAGAUUUUAGGAUGGAAUUAAAAGACUUAGAAGAAAAGUUUCGUAAAGCUAUGGUACAAAAUGCUCAACUUGACAAUGAAAAAGCAGCUGUGACAUAUAUGGUAGAAUUGUACAAAGACAAGUAUACUGAUAUUGAAGAAGAACUUAUGCAUAUAAAAAGAGAACAUAAAGAAAGUUGUAGAGAAAACGAAAAAUUAAAACGUUUAUUGGCUACUCAAAAACUAGAAUCUAUAACACUUCAACAAGAACUAGAAGAACGUGAUAAACUCAUUGAGGAAAAAGGAUUAGUUAUUAUCAGCACAGAACAAGAAUGUUGGAGUGAGAGUGAUCAAUGUAAUAGUAAAAUAAAACGUGCCUUAGUCUCUGUUGAAAAUGCUCAAUUGUUACAAGAUGCAGGAGAAGGUUGUUUAGAUGUACGACUCAAAAAAUUUACCGAAGAACGCAACAGCUAUAUAGACGAAAUUAACAGGCUCAAAUUAGAGUUGCAAGAGGCCAAACGUCAUAGUGAUAACCAUUAUAAUGGUACAGACUCUGACGAUUUGGAAGAUGCCCAAAAAGAAACUAAUAAAGUUCUUGGUGAUUAUAAAUUCAAAUGGCAAAAGGCUGAACAAGAUAUUUCUACAUUACAAGCUAAUGUUGCUAGACUUGAGAGUCAAGUGAUUAGAUAUAAAACAGCUUCUGAAGCAUCUGAAAAAGCUGAAGAUGAAUUGAAAUUGGAAAAACGAAAACUACAGCGUGAGCUUCGAGAAGCUCAAGCAAAAGUUGAAGAAUUGGAGACAUCCAACAUGCAUUUAUUAAAACGCUUUGACAAGUUAAAGAAUGCCAAAUCCAGUUUACUAAAAGAUUUAUAAUAGACAAUCUUAUUCACAAUCGAACAAAACUAAGAGUAAUAAUUUAUCUUAGCUUAAACGCGAUAUUUUGUGCAAUAAAAUCUACAUUCAUCAUCAGUGUCACAUCAGACAAUUGAUAAUGGGAAGAUGUGCAAAACAGGACAAGAAACAUAAAAUAAUUAAAAAUAUAAUUUAGAAUAUAAUUUUUGAAUCAUUAAAUUUAUAUUAAUAAAUAUUUAAUAACAAAAUACUAAUAAUUAUAGCAAAAUAUAAUUACCGUGUAAAAAUUGUUUUAUUUUAAUUGAAAUUACAAUCUAACAUUAUCAUUUUAUAAAUGUUUUAUUUUAUAUUUAUUAAGUAUAUUUAAUUAUUAUUUUAUUUUGAAAUAAUAAAAUUCUUUAUUUUUGUUGAUUUGACUAUUGUUCCAAAGCUAUCAACCAAUAACCCAACUUUUAUUGAUGGUAAAUGUUUUUUAUUAUUAGUUCUUCUAUAUUAGUUGAACCUUGUUAAACCAAAAUAAGUGGUAUUCACUGUAUUUAUAUAAUUUAUUAUUGAACAAUUUGUCUAGUUUAUUUUCUACCAACUAACUAUAAAUUUUAAAUUUAUUUUACCUAAAUUUAAAUUAUUAUAAAUUAUAAAGAAACAUUUAUCUCCUUAUCACUAUUGUGUUUACAUGAACAUUUUAAUUAUUAACAGAACUUGUAUGUAUACUGUAUUUAUUUUAUUAUUAUUAUUAUUAUUAUUAUUAUUUUAGUUAAACUAGUAUAUUUACUCUGUAAAUAGGUAUCACAUGUAAAUGAAACUUAUCUAUAUUUCUCUUAACAAGAUAAAAUUACCAAUGGUUUACUUUAUAUUAGAAAAUGUAAUCAUUUGAGUAUUUUUUUAAAAAAUAUUCUCAUAAAUGUUCCUAUCUGAUUCAUAGUCGAUUAUCCAAUAUUUUAAAGUUAAAGUUUGUAAUUCUAAAAAUGUAUUAUAUUGAUUUGAAUUUUGAGACAAAAUUUAAAAUCAAAACCACAAGACACGGUAAUUUUAUUUUGUUAUUCAUGUAAUUUCAAAGAAAAAUUUAUUUACUAAACUCAGUUUCAUAUAAAAGUAAACUCGGGCAGAUGGCUUUGCCUAAGCUAAUAUGUAAUUUUGUACUUCAUUAUUUUCACAACUGCCAACCUUGUGUUUUGUUUAGUUAAGUACAUUAUAACAAUUUUUUACUAUGGUGAAUAAAAAUUAAUUUUUUAAGAGAUGAAGUGAUCUGAUCAAACCUGACUGACCUGAGACUACUCUUAUAUGAGAUAGAGUGUACAUCUAUGUAGUUAGAAUUAUGAAAUAUAAAUUAUUACAGAUAACAUUUUGUAUUCAUUAAAAAAAUAAUAAUAACAACAAUCGUUUAGUUUUUAGUUUACUUAUCUAAUUUUUAUCUUUAUAUUCAAUUAAAAUUAAAAUUGAUAUUUAAAAAAGUAACAAAGUAAUUUAUAAUUAUUUUCUUUUAAUAUAUUUUUUAUAUUAAAUUAAAAUAGAAACAUUAACUUGUCAGUAAAGAUAUAUGGUUCUAGCAAUGACUUAUACUACAUAUUAUACCUAUGAUUAUAGAAUAUACUGAUAAGUGUAAAUCUUCAAAACAUUAGUAUCAGAUCCAGAUAUUCAAGGGGAGGGGCAAAUUCUCAAAAAUUAAACUAUGUUUUUCUUUUUAAUAUGUAUUAGGGGCUAAUUAUUUACAUUAUUUUCCUUAAUUUUCCUAAAAAUAUGUUAAUGUUUAUUUUAACAAUUAAUUUACAAUAUAGAAUAUUUUUCCUGGAAAAUCAAGAACAGAAAAAAUCGCAACUAACAUUAUUUAUAUAAUAAGUAGUUGUAUAAUAAAAAAAAUAUUGACAGUAGACCCAAGAUAAGAAUAUAAAAUUAAAGUAAUAAAUAUCCUUAAUGGGUGGGGAUGGGGUCACCGCAUCAUUCCUUUUGGUAUCUGAAACUGAAACUGAAAAACAAAGCGACUAGAUUAAUCUGUUAGUGAACGGAAUUAACUUUAUACCACAGUUGGCACAAUUUAUCUGUAUAUUCUAAAAUCAAUGAUACCUAUUUACUUAAGUUAAAUGAUAUGACUAAUAAACCAAUUUUACACAUCUU
Aphis gossypii (cotton aphid) is the source of this 4115-nucleotide RNA transcript. It is a transcript of the gene named leucine-rich repeat flightless-interacting protein 2, with no coding region annotated. Lineage: Eukaryota; Metazoa; Arthropoda; Insecta; Hemiptera; Aphididae. The record is from RefSeq and is a predicted model, not a curated record. The transcript has 12 exons.